CUGAAACUCUCUCUCUCUCUCUCUCUCUAACUCUCCCUCUCGAACCGUAAGCAACACACACACACAAAAACUCAAUCAAACUUGCACGAACGUUGGAUCUAAGACCACCAUCGUGAUCCUGAGAACUUCACGAACACGGGGAUACCAAAUUCAGGCUAAACAAAGAUCACAGUGAGUCUUAGAAGGUCCCAAGGAUGCUCGGAGUGUAACGUUGGAAGUGUUUGGACGUAAGAACGCAGAGAUAGACAAGUUCAAGUUUGACCCGUGCCUUUCGAGGUGUUUUCUGGCCAAACCACAGAGAAUUAGACGUCGUGCGAGUUUCCGGCGAACCAGUCCGGCGAGCCGAGGAAGAAGAUGCGCGUGGGGGCGCGUAGGUCCGACCUUCCUAUGGCGCGUGGGGGCGCGUGAGUGGCCCAAAAAUUGUUCUAAAAAUUGUUACGUGUUCGUGACGUCGUGUAGAUUACCGUGGUGAAAAUUAUACGGACGAAGAACGUAACCAAAAUAGGCGAGGGGGUUACGAACCGGCUACUUAUCAGUGAGUGGGCAGUUAUUUUUCAGUAUAUAUAUAUACGUAUACUUGACGUAUUUCCCAGAAAACAUAUUUUAAAAGAAAUACGAUUUAAGUAACAUGUCAUGUAUGCAUCAUAUUUUAGUGUAUGCAUUACCAUAAUUA
Malus domestica (apple) is the source of this 673-nucleotide non-coding RNA. Lineage: Eukaryota; Viridiplantae; Streptophyta; Magnoliopsida; Rosales; Rosaceae. The record is from RefSeq and is a predicted model, not a curated record.